RNAcentral lists this transfer RNA (81 nucleotides) under Schizomeris leibleinii. RNAcentral describes it as "tRNA-Tyr". It matches the Rfam family "tRNA". From Rfam's summary of the family: Transfer RNA (tRNA) molecules are approximately 80 nucleotides in length. The record is from RNAcentral. Lineage: Eukaryota; Viridiplantae; Chlorophyta; Chlorophyceae; Chaetophorales; Schizomeridaceae.
GGGAUAGUGUCCGAGUGGUUAAGGAGGUGGUUUGUAAAACCAUUAGCGUUGCUAUCACAGGUUCGACCCCUGUCUAUCCCA